RNAcentral lists this ribosomal RNA (575 nucleotides) under Hanseniaspora uvarum. Its description in RNAcentral is "partial large subunit ribosomal RNA". It matches the Rfam family "Eukaryotic large subunit ribosomal RNA", at positions 1 to 669 of the family's 3401-position model. Lineage: Eukaryota; Fungi; Ascomycota; Saccharomycetes; Saccharomycodales; Saccharomycodaceae. The record is from RNAcentral.
CCUUCUCCUUUUUAUUGUCUCUUUCGCUAUUGGGACUGUUUGUGCUAAAUACCUGUGAUUCCCCAUCACCCUGUGUGUGGUGUCCUUUUAUUCUUUCCUUGAUUCUCUACCGCGGAUUUGACGUCAUCUCGGGUGAGAAUCCCGUUUGGCGAGGAUACCUUUUCUUUGUAAGACUUUUUCGAAGAGUCGAGUUGUUUGGGAAUGCAGCUCAAAGUGGGUGGUAAAUUCCAUCUAAAGCUAAAUAUUGGCGAGAGACCGAUAGCGAACAAGUACAGUGAUGGAAAGAUGAAAAGAACUUUGAAAAGAGAGUGAAAAAGUACGUGAAAUUGUUGAAAGGGAAGGGCAUUUGAUCAGACAUGGUGUUUUUUGCAUGCACUCGCCUCUCGUGGGCUUGGGCCUCUCAAAAAUUUCACUGGGCCAACAUCAAUUUUGGCAGCAGGAUAAAUCAUUAAGAAUGUAGCUACUUCGGUAGUGUUAUAGCUUUUUGGAAUACUGUUAGCCGGGAUUGAGGACUGCGCUUCGGCAAGGAUGUUGGCAUAAUGGUUAAAUGCCGCCCGUCUUGAACCACGGGACCA